GGGCGGGUAGCGUAGAGGUCAGCGUGUUCACUAAGCGUUUCAGCGUUGUUUCCUAGCGUUUUAGCGAGAGUCCUGGGUUCGAAUCCCAGCCCCCCCC
Molecule: transfer RNA, 97 nt
Filed under: Immersiella caudata
Lineage: Eukaryota; Fungi; Ascomycota; Sordariomycetes; Sordariales; Lasiosphaeriaceae
Description: Cercophora caudata tRNA
Rfam family: tRNA
About the family: Transfer RNA (tRNA) molecules are approximately 80 nucleotides in length. Their secondary structure includes four short double-helical elements and three loops (D, anti-codon, and T loops).
Source: Rfam by way of RNAcentral